RNAcentral lists this ribosomal RNA (561 nucleotides) under uncultured bacterium. Its description in RNAcentral is "partial 16S ribosomal RNA". It matches the Rfam family "Bacterial small subunit ribosomal RNA", at positions 355 to 909 of the family's 1533-position model. The record is from RNAcentral.
UGGGGAAUUUUGGACAAUGGGGGAAACCCUGAUCCAGCCAUCCCGCGUGUGCGAUGAAGGCCUUCGGGUUGUAAAGCACUUUUGGCAGGAAAGAAACGUCGCGGGUUAAUACCCCGCGGAACUGACGGUACCUGCAGAAUAAGCACCGGCUAACUACGUGCCAGCAGCCGCGGUAAUACGUAGGGUGCAAGCGUUAAUCGGAAUUACUGGGCGUAAAGCGUGCGCAGGCGGUUCGGAAAGAAAGAUGUGAAAUCCCAGAGCUUAACUUUGGAACUGCAUUUUUAACUACCGGGCUAGAGUGUGUCAGAGGGAGGUGGAAUUCCGCGUGUAGCAGUGAAAUGCGUAGAUAUGCGGAGGAACACCGAUGGCGAAGGCAGCCUCCUGGGAUAACACUGACGCUCAUGCACGAAAGUGUGGGGAGCAAACAGGAUUAGAUACCCUGGUAGUCCACGCCCUAAACGAUGUCAACUAGCUGUUGGGGUCUUCGGACCUUGGUAGCGCAGCUAACGCGUGAAGUUGACCGCCUGGGGAGUACGGUCGCAAGAUUAAAACUCAAAUGAA